CGAUGAGCGCCAGCAGCGCCAGGGAGACGCAGAGGCAGCGCCGGCGCUGAGAUCCGGCCAUGGCUCGGGCUCCGGUUGCGGCUCGGUCGGGUUCCGGCGUGCUGGGAGAUCCACUCCACCGAUGGUCACCUGAAAGGCCUUCCAGAGGUGUGGGCAGUGUGAGAUAGGAUGAGGCGGUCUACCUCACCACUGUAUCAUCAAGACGAACACGACGUAGGAGCCACGUUUCUCCGGGGGAGUGUUCAGACCUUUCUGUAAGCCAGCGUCUUCUCUACGCUGGGAAUAUGUAACAACAGCGUGGUCUCUACACGCCGUCUACAUUCCUGCUUACAUAUUCACUACUCAUUUAUACCGGAGAAAGCAUUUCAUAGAAUGUGCUGAGGUUGUGCCUAAUUCUGCAUUGGCACAGUGCCACUCACACUUAAACAAUUUCUUCCAUCUACAGAAUAUAGAGCAAAAUAAUGUGAAAACUGUCUCACGUUUCUUGUAUUAUUAUGACCACAAUUUUCUAAAGGAACCAACUAAAAAAAAAAGACUAAAGUCUAAACUAAGUGGCUAUUAAAUAAGUGUCACACGGGAGCCUUCAGGAAGUCCAGCAUCUCUUUAGCACACAGACACAGGACUUCCUGUAUCAAAAGGGUCAAAUUUUGUUUCCUUUCUCCUCAUUAACGCACUCAAAUUUGAUGUGUUAACAUGCACAUUUUGUACAUGUUAAUGCAUAAUAAGGUGACGCCAUAAGCCUGUUUUCCCACUGACACUAGCUAGUAUGCCCCCUUCAGGCCCGGACCCAGCAUUAUUCAAAUCCCUUGCGCCUCCCCCCCCCUCCCCUUAUCCCAGCUAUGCUAUAAAGCAUAUAGUUGAUUCAUUUUAUCAGAAAAAUGAGUCAUAUAAUGUAUACAAUGUGGAAAAGGUGUCAGAAUAUCAAGUCGAUUGCAUUUUAAAUUUUUUUUUUGCUGAACAGGAGCGGUAUUACAUAACUGAAAAUAAACCGUCUAUGAUCACAUUAUUAGUAGGACACCCUGGACAGGAUGCCAGUCCAUCACAGAACAUACACGGCACGUUGUGGGAAAUUUUGGGACACCAGGUCACCUAAAUGCUCAUUUCUGGGUAGCAGGAGGAACCAGGAGAAAACUGAUGGAGGCAGAACUGUGGUCUGAAUCAAGCAAAUUGCCCUGGGGCCAUGAAGCUUCAGUACCACCACAUCAUCAUCCCACAUAAAUGAUGCAAAUUAAUGGGAUAUUAAUGAAUAAUCGUUCAUGAGUCAACAGACACAAGGAGGUGGAGGCAGCCGAUGGAUUAUAGGCUGUUGACAGAUGAUGCUGAAAGUGCUCAGGGGGUUAUAGGUGCUGUGAAUUCUGGACGAACUUGGCAGGAUGUGCAGCUCAUCUCCAAGCAGCUGAGUGGACCAGGAAAUGAGCAAAGACGCAGCCCAGCACGAUGAGCGGAGCCUGGCAGGUCGGCGGCUCAGAAUGGGGGGUGAUUCACAGCUCGGCGAGGAAGAAGAAGUGGAAAGACCGGUGGGAGAUGAGGGAAAGAGCGAAAGCGACUCUCCUGAUUGCAGACCGGCAGUUCCAGGGGCAGCAGUAAUGCUGCAGGGGGCAAAAGCAGAAGCUGCUUGGAGCUGCUGUCGCGUCACCGGAAGAAGCUGCCGCUGCUGUUACAUGUGUGAUGGGUGCCGCGGCACCGCUCUGGAAGGAUCACCGUCUGCACCCAAGAGAGCUCGACAUCCUGCUUCAUCUGCAGACGGGCCUGGAGCCAGAUAUGCAGAUUAUUUAUAUAGCAAAGGAAUGUGCUAUGAUCACCACUUUGAUUUUGGCAUGAUUUUUAAUAGCUGAACACAGCUGCCAAUAGUUAUGUACAGGGGAGCAGUAGGGGCAUGAACACCCAGAAGAUUCAGGGGGCUGACACUUGACAGGGGCCCUUGAAUACAUAAAUUUUAUGGAAAAAGUGGGCAGGUGGACAAGGUGCCAACAUUUACUGUUUUUAAAGAGGACCCUUCUGUGUCAUAAUGGCAAACUUUAAGAAUGACGGAGGAGAGGAGAGAUACUUGUUAUGGUACUCCAGAAUGACUGGGCCUUCAACCCCGGAUUUUCCUCCUUAGGGCCCUUUGUUAAGCCCAGGCACAGUGUGUGGCUCAGUGGGUCAGAACGCCACGCCCGUGAACGAGAGGCUGCUGGUUCAUAUCCCAUGGUUGGUAGAGUGAUGUCACUGUUGGGCCCUUGACCCUCAGUCAAGCACCUUCAGCUAAGCAGUGCAGGUGGUGGCCUGGAACAGAAAAGAGCUGGAUUACUGAGAACUGGGAUUGAAUCCACUGUGUUAUGGGACGUUACCAUCAGGGAAACAGUGCUUUCUUCCAGGCAUUUACAUCGAAUGUAUUUUAUAGACGCCUUUGUCCAAACCAACUCACAAUAUACUCAAAAUGCUGUUUCUGAAAGGUCCAAAAAAGUCAGCAGUCAGAUCAAAAUGCAUCUGUGGUGAUAUUUCAUAUUCAAAGGUUAUAUUUUGGUUUGUGUUCUACUGAACAGAAACCGAGAGAGAGCUUUGUUGGACAACAAUAAUAAUUAUCAAUUAUUUGUUCUUGUUGUUCAUAUAACAAGCAUAUGUCUGCAAGGCCCUCAAGUUUCAUCAAAUGUUUGGAGUGAGAUUACAUUAGGGGCGAAACGUGUGUCUCACGGUCAAUGUGUGAGACUUGACGGCCCUGCCUACCGCGUUCAUUGGAUCUUGCUCUUACAUUUUCAUCUUUUGUGCACUCCAUCUGUGUGCACAUCCAUACAAUAAUGUGCUUGCAGCGGGAUCGCACAUAACUUAUUUUGGAAUUUAAUAACAAUUGCUAUUUUCCAACUGGUUGGUAUAGGUGGCUAUUAACUCUGUAUAAUUCGAGACAGUUAUAUAUAAAGCGUAAAACUCCACUCUGUAUGCCUGCGCAUCGUUCAUCAAUUCUGCAUAACGGGAUACCUUGGUGGUCAUUACUCUGUGCUUCUCAGUGUGAGAAAUACAAAGUCUAGCAUGAGAGCAUGUGAACUGAUUGAAAUGCGCAUAUCUCACAGUCUGUGCUUGAGACUUGAGAGCCAUGCAUCUGUAUGCAUCACUGACUGA
Non-coding RNA from Paramormyrops kingsleyae, 3096 nucleotides. NCBI's taxonomy places the organism in Eukaryota, Metazoa, Chordata, Actinopteri, Osteoglossiformes, Mormyridae. The record is from RefSeq and is a predicted model, not a curated record.